GUUACAAAAGGACUGUGGCUUCUGUCUUGCUUGCCCUCUCUUUCUCUUUCUCUCAAUCUCUCUCUCUGAGGAAACUCAGCUGCUAUGUUGUGAGUUGUCCUGUGGAGAGACCCAUGUGACAAGGAACUGAUGUCUCUGGGCAACAGCAGUGAGGAACUGGGUUCUGUCAACAUCCACAUAAGUGAACUGAGAAGCAGAUUCCCUUCCCCCGCAGUCAGGCCAUAAGGUGACUGUGGCCGUGCUGACACCUUAAUUACAGCUCUGUGAGAGAGCCUGAGCCAGAGCUACCCAACUGAGCUGCACCUGGAUUCCUGACCUACAGAAAUGCUUUGAAAAGACCAAAAGGAGCAGCUGAUGAGGGAGAAGGGGUGCUGAGAAGAGGAAAAGCAGCUGACCACAACUCCUUCUCUUCUCCACUGUAGACUUUCAAGCCUGGGGCAAAACUCCACUGGGAGAGGGAAGAAGUUUUAAACGGAGCGAGAUUACAGUUUGGAUUAGUACACUCUGGAUUGGACUUUCAUUACUAAAAAGAGACUAUUCAUUUAUUACCUGAGAGCAAGCACAAAACUGUAAAAUCUCCCUGAGAUCUCAAGGGAAUGGGGAUGGAGCACCACGAGAUGACCAAGUUAACAGUGCAAGUUUGAAGGCAGUGGGAGAAAAGAGAGAGUUGCUUUCAGCAUGUGCCCUACUGAGUUCAACUCCUUUAAUGAAGUGGCUACAAUGAGUCUUCCCUGAACACAUUUUUGCCAGGCUUAGGUUCUGCUGGCCAUGUUUAAAUGGAUGCACAAGAUGUAUGCAUAUUUAGGAGAAUGAUGUUUUCAGGGUGAUUGGAGCCAGGCUAACCUGAGUUCAUAUCUUAGCUCUGCUACUUAAAAAAUGUGACACAUUGUUAAUCUCUUGGCCUCUGAGCUUCCUCAUCUAUAAAAUGAAGACAAAUGAUGUCUACCUCACAAUGUUGUACUAAAGAGGAAGUAAGAUAAUAUGUGUACAGUAACACAGUGUCUGGUACGUAGUGGGCACUCAAUAAAUGGUAGCAAUGAUUAUGAUCAUCAUGAUCUUAGUGUCUCGACCUGACAAAAAUGGUAGUUCAGAAAAAUUUACCAAGCAUUAGCAUGCAAGAUAGAUUGAAGAUGAAUCAAGACUAGGAGCAGGGAGAAAAAUUAGAAACAUUGAGUAAUAAAAUGAGGCUAAAGUGGUAGCCACAGGGAUGAAAUAGAGGUGAAGGGACAAAUUAUAAGGAAUAUUUGAGAGGAAAAUGAACAGAAGAGAUAACUUCUUAGAUAGAAACUGGUAAAUAAAGGAGGAUGAAGAGUCAAAGGCAGCUUAAAUUUUUAAAGCUUGUUUGGAUGGGAGAAUAGUAGAAAAGGGAGAAAUACAGACAUUGGCAGAAUGAGCAUGUUGGGUGGGUAGGAAUGGUGGGGAGAAAAUAGUUUUGUUUUGCUACAAUUCAAAUGUAGGUGAUGGCGGGACUUCCAAGUGCAAAUAUCCUAUAGAUAUUUGGAAAGUCAUUUAUUUAAUCAUUCAACAAAUAUUUCUUGAGAGCCUACUUGGUGUCAGACACCAUGCUAGACUCUAGUGAGAACAAUCUAGUAAAGAGUUGGAGUUUAAAUGGGACAUCUGGGCCAGACAGAAAGAUCUGGGGCCUUCAGCAAGGAAUGGGUUCCUGAAACCAUACAUAUUAGUCAGUUUUCUAAUGGAGAGUGUGAAGAAGAGACAAUUUCUGAGAAUAUUCAGUCAGAGGGACACAAGAAGUGGACAAAUGGGGGAGAACUAAACCAGAAUCACAUAUUGUAAUUAUUUUUAUAUUAAAUUCUGACCAUUUAAUUAUGACAAAAAAGCAGUUUCGUAGUAGCUGUUCAUAUUUUUUAAACUUUUUAUUUUGGAAUAAUUAUAGAUUCACAGGAAGUGGCAAAAAUAUUAGAGCGGUCCCACUACCCUUCAGCCAGUUUCUCCCAGUGGCUACAUCUUACAUAACUAUAGGACAAUAGGACAACCAGGAAACUGACAUUGGCAUAAUCCACGGACUUUAUUCAGAUUUCACUAGUUUUAUGUGCACUCAUUUGUGUGUAUAAUUCUGUGCCAUGUUAUCACAUGUAUGGAUUCAUGUAAUCUUUCCUCUUUAAUUAUUAAAACUUUUUCUUUUUUCUCACUCCA
Molecule: non-coding RNA, 2154 nt
Organism: Equus caballus (horse)
Lineage: Eukaryota; Metazoa; Chordata; Mammalia; Perissodactyla; Equidae
Source: RefSeq, a predicted model, not a curated record